Molecule: ribosomal RNA, 234 nt
Filed under: uncultured bacterium
Lineage: Bacteria
Description: partial 16S ribosomal RNA
Rfam family: Bacterial small subunit ribosomal RNA
Source: RNAcentral
UACAGAGGUCUCAAGCGUUGUUCGGAUUCAUUGGGCGUAAAGGGUGUGUAGGUGGCGCCGUUAGUCGGGUGUGAAAUUUCGGAGCUUAACUCCGAAACUGCAUUCGAUACUGCGGUGCUUGAGGACUGGAGAGGAGACUGGAAUUCAUGGUGUAGCAGUGAAAUGCGUAGAGAUCAUGAGGAAGACCAGUGGCGAAGGCGAAUCUCUGGACAGUUACUGACACUGAGGCACGAA